CUUGUUAGCCCUAAUGGUAGACCAGGCGAAGGAGGCGAGCAAUUUUGGACUCACUGCCAUGCAACUGGGCGUCGAUAACCCAGCAAACAUAAAAAUAUGUCGUCAGUGCCAGUUGGUCUUCGGAGCAGUCAGGAGGCAUGGCUUUUGCUGAACGCGACGUGUUGUCUUCCAAGACAAGGUCCUCGGAGUGGACGAGGUUCACCUCAUAUAAUGGGGGAAACGUGACAAAGGGAAGGCCUUCAGGUAUUGUUUUGGCAAGCUAGGAGAACACAUCUGACAGACAAAAAGGUUUCAUCAAAGACACACAGACAGCUCCUGAAGUAAAGGACCUACACAGGACCUUCAUAUCAAGGACAUUGACUGUGUGGAUCUCGAGGUGCAGUUACCCAAAAGUUGCUACCCACGGAAU
Engraulis encrasicolus (European anchovy) is the source of this 409-nucleotide long non-coding RNA. RefSeq lists it as uncharacterized. The transcript has 3 exons. The record is from RefSeq and is a predicted model, not a curated record. NCBI's taxonomy places the organism in Eukaryota, Metazoa, Chordata, Actinopteri, Clupeiformes, Engraulidae.